GACGAACGCUGGCGGCGUGCUUAACACAUGCAAGCCGAACGGAAAGGCCCUGCUUUCGUGGGGUGCUCGAGUGGCGAACGGGUGAGUAACACGUGAGUAACCUGCCCUUGACUUUGGGAUAACUUCAGGAAACUGGGGCUAAUACCUGAUAGGAGCUCCUGCUGCAUGGUGGGGGUUGGAAAGUUUCGGCGGUUGGGGAUGGACUCGCGGCUUAUCAGCUUGUUGGUGGGGUAGUGGCUUACCAAGGCUUUGACGGGUAGCCGGCCUGAGAGGGUGACCGGCCACAUUGGGACUGAGAUACGGCCCAGACUCCUACGGGAGGCAGCAGUGGGGAAUAUUGCACAAUGGGCGGAAGCCUGAUGCAGCAACGCCGCGUGCGGGAUGACGGCCUUCGAGUUGUAAACCGCUUUCGCCUGUGACGAAGCGUGAGUGACGGUAAUGGGUAGAGAAGCACCGGCUAACUACGUG
RNAcentral lists this ribosomal RNA (468 nucleotides) under uncultured bacterium. RNAcentral describes it as "partial 16S ribosomal RNA". It matches the Rfam family "Bacterial small subunit ribosomal RNA", at positions 28 to 507 of the family's 1533-position model. The record is from RNAcentral.